UGCCAGACUCCUACGGGAGGCAGCAGUGGGGAAUAUUGCACAAUGGGGGAAACCCUGAUGCAGCGACGCCGCGUGAGUGAAGAAGUAUUUCGGUAUGUAAAGCUCUAUCAGCAGGGAAGAAAAUGACGGUACCUGACUAAGAAGCCCCGGCUAACUACGUGCCAGCAGCCGCGGUAAUACGUAGGGGGCAAGCGUUAUCCGGAUUUACUGGGUGUAAAGGGAGCGUAGACGGCAUGGCAAGUCAGAUGUGAAAGCCCGGGGCUCAACCCCGGGACUGCAUUUGAAACUGUCAGGCUGGAGUGCAGGAGAGGUAAGUGGAAUUCCUAGUGUAGCGGUGAAAUGCGUAGAUAUUAGGAGGAACACCGGUGGCGAAGGCGGCCUGCUGGACUGCGACUGACGUUGAGGCCCGAAAGCGUGGGGAGCAAACAGGAUUAGAUACCCGAGUA
Molecule: ribosomal RNA, 446 nt
Filed under: uncultured bacterium
Lineage: Bacteria
Description: partial 16S ribosomal RNA
Rfam family: Bacterial small subunit ribosomal RNA
Source: RNAcentral